RNAcentral lists this ribosomal RNA (389 nucleotides) under Phalanger carmelitae (mountain cuscus). RNAcentral describes it as "partial 12S ribosomal RNA". It matches the Rfam family "Bacterial small subunit ribosomal RNA", at positions 794 to 1384 of the family's 1533-position model. Lineage: Eukaryota; Metazoa; Chordata; Mammalia; Diprotodontia; Phalangeridae. The record is from RNAcentral.
GCUCAGCCAUAAACCAAGAUAAUUCAAACAACAAAAUUAUCCGCCAGAGAACUACUAGCCAACGCUUAAAACUCAAAGGACUUGACGGUGUCCUAAACCCCCCUAGAGGAGCCUGUUCUAUAAUCGAUAAACCCCGAUAAACCCCACCUAUUCUUGCCAAUACAGCCUAUAUACCGCCAUCGUCAGCCUACCCCACAGGGUAAUAAAGUAAGCAAAAGCAUCACCCAUAAAAACGUUAGGUCAAGGUGUAGCAUAUGAAUAGGAAAGAAAUGGGCUACAUUUCCUAAACUAGAAAACAACGGACUAUCUUAUGAAAUUAAGAUACCGAAGGAGGAUUUAGUAGUAAAUUAAGAAUAGAGAGCUUAAUUGAAAUAGGCAAUAGGACGCGU